GGUAUAGUGAGAAAAAUUUGAUUUGUUAUCUUUAAGGCCACCUUAGACUAGACAGAGAGGGGCCUGUGUAUUUGCCUCAUUACACAUAUUCAGAACUCACAUACUAAGUAGUUCAAAUUGAGAGAGUUGUAAUUAUCCUGAAUCUGGAUUGUUUAUGGAAGUGUAGGUUAUUGAUAGUAUGGUUUGUUAAACAUAUCUUUGUUUAGACAUAUUAGGUUGCAGAAAGACUAAAUAAUUGAUUUAGGCGGAAGGAUAUUAAGAGAGUGAUUAGGCAGUUUGGGAAGAACUUUCUUGUGUCUACAGAAAGUUUAGUGCAUUGUUCAACCAACUCAGUGAGGAGAGCUGAUUGGCAAUCAGAGUUUCGCAGUAGAGUAUUCAGAAUAUUUCAUGUUUCUGUCGAGGUAUGUUAAUUGAUUUUUGUUAUAGUGUAGAAUAAGGACUAUAGUCAUGUUAUUAUUGAUAUUGAGUAGAAAGAAUGAAGGAAAAUGAAGUAUUAAUAGUGAAGGGAUCGCAUCACUGGUUAGAGGUCAUGAGCACAUACAGUGUAUGGCCUAGUACAUGAUACACAAUGUACACACGUGUAGUUCGUUGUGCAUGAAUGACCAUGCGUCAUCUCGUUGUAGUGGCUUUGUAAACGAUGUAAGGCAGAGAAUUUUAUGUUUAUUAUAAUGUUGAUGAGUGUAAAUACACAUUUAAUGUACUUGUAUAGCUAAGUGUUAUUUAGUUAUGGUAUUGAGUACUGUAGCUUGAAUAUAGUGCACUGAGGGAAGUUUGGAGGGAUUUGAUUAGAUAGAAAUGUUUGGGUAAAAGUCGAGUUAAGACUGUGUUGUGCUGUGUAAGUAAUAUUCUCAAAUAAGAUGGCAGCCUCCAUGGGAAGGGUUUAUGGUGCAGUUAGUUAAAAAUAGGAGUCUACUUAUUUCAGUAGAUUGGUGUUGGUGCUUGAUAUAAAUUAUAUCAUACUAUUAUUAGAGAGUAGAGUUUAUUAGGAGUUGGUGUAUUAUUCAUUUAAUUGAUAGGAGUUCCUUUCGUGGAUGGGGCUAGAGGUUCAACAGUUGUCGAGGUGUCGCUGAUUGACCACGUUUCUGAUUGAGAAAUAGUUCUGGUGCUUGUUGGAGGUAUGACAAAUUGAAGCAUUUGUUUACAUUUCUGUAUCUCUUAAUCUAGAUUCUUUAAUACUCAAUGUCUGAAGUUGAAGUAAUAUUGUCAUUUUACUUAACGUUUGACUCUUUUAUUUCAUUGGUUUGAGUCUUUGAUUUAAUUGGUUCAGUUAUUUGAUAAUGAACAGUGACAAUUUUAGUAGAGUAUAGAUACCACAUUAUUCAUCUGUGUAUUGAUAUACUUGAUGCAUUUUUACGUUCAUAAAUAGGAUUUAAAUUGUUAUGAUUACAUUAUCGCAUUAUAAUGUUUUGAUGAUAACAAUUUGAUGAUAUAUAGUUGACUGGUUAUUCAUGGCAAGUAGUGAUAUUGUCUUUGUUCUAGAUUCCAGCGUUUGAGUUGAAGAAGCUGGUUCCAUUGUUGUCGUCGUAGCAACAAGUAGUUGUUUAGCAGUCCUAGUUGGAGGUUUUUCUUCUUGUAUCACACUUUAUGCAGAUAGCUCAAGUGGGAAAUAAAAUCCCGCUCAUAUCCUACAACCUCGAGUCGUGUCAUUGUGUUCUGGUAUUGCAUUCUUCCUGACAACCGCCCCCCCCCCUUUCUCUCGACUUACCAAAAUACUACAGUGGUGUCAGAAGUGGGAUUGAACUUGAGCUACAGCGACGAGCAUCGGAGGGAAGAUUCGCUGAAGGAAGAUACGACUUGGAAAACCUCCAGACUACAGGCGAUGUGGGAGUAAACCAUUAAAUAGGUUUAUCAGGGAUGAGUUCCUUUCGUGGAUGGGGCUAGAGGUUCAACAGUUGUCGAGGUGUCGCUGAUUGACCACGUUUCUGAUUGAGAAAUAGUUCUGGUGCUUGUUGGAGGUAUGACAAAUUGAAGCAUUUGUUUACAUUUCUGUAUCUCUUAAUCUAGAUUCUUUAAUACUCAAUGUCUGAAGUUGAAGUAAUAUUGUCAUUUUACUUAACGUUUGACUCUUUUAUUUCAUUGGUUUGAGUCUUUGAUUUAAUUGGUUCAGUUAUUUGAUAAUGAACAGUGACAAUUUUAGUAGAGUAUAGAUACCACAUUAUUCAUCUGUGUAUUGAUAUACUUGAUGCAUUUUUACGUUCAUAAAUAGGAUUUAAAUUGUUAUGAUUACAUUAUCGCAUUAUAAUGUUUUGAUGAUAACAAUUUGAUGAUAUAUAGUUGACUGGUUAUUCAUGGCAAGUAGUGAUAUUGUCUUUGUUCUAGAUUCCAGCGUUUGAGUUGAAGAAGCUGGUUCCAUUGUUGUCGUCGUAGCAACAAGUAGUUGUUUAGCAGUCCUAGUUGGGUGAGUCAGGAUGGUAGAGCGUGAUAGAUAGUUUUGAACACGAACACUGCUUGUUAUAUUACUUCUGUUUCAGGUGUUGAUAACAAUGUGUUAUAACGAAUUGUAGGUAGGCAGUCAAUGUACAUUAAUUAGACAUUAAUUAGAAUGAAUAUCCAUGACUAUGCAUAUUUCAGGGGAUUAUUCUGAUGUUAAUCUUUAAUAGAGUUGAUGCUUUCAUAUUUUAGUGACCUAUAUUCAUACUUUCAGUGAAGAGAUUAGUUCGUCAUAUUUCACACCAAAUAGAGGGAAUAUUUUGGAAUGAUAAGAAAUACAUUUUCUUCUUUUACAUUGAAUUACUCGCUCGAUGAAUAUUGAAGUAUCAUUGACUUGGUUUUAAAGUGAUGUACAUUAUUGUUGACUCUAAAUUGUUGCAUGAAGAGAUUUUGAA
RNAcentral lists this long non-coding RNA (2825 nucleotides) under Strongylocentrotus purpuratus (purple sea urchin). RNAcentral describes it as "uncharacterized LOC100894010". The record is from RNAcentral. Lineage: Eukaryota; Metazoa; Echinodermata; Echinoidea; Camarodonta; Strongylocentrotidae.